AUACAAAGGUAUUGUAAUAAGACUUUAAUUGAGAGCUAAGAGAAUGGAAUUUCAAAAAAUUUCUUUUUUGAAAUUAAAAAUUAAAGUUAUUUUUCUUUGUGAAGAAACAAAAAUGAAAAUUAAGGACAAGAAGACCCUAUGAAUUUUUAUUUUAUUAUACAGUAAAAUUGUAUUAGUAUAAUUAAAUUUAAUUGGGGCGAUUAAAAAAUAUAACUAACUUUUUAAAAAUUUAAAAUGAUCCUUUAUUAAAGAUAUAUUGGACAAAUACUCUAGGGAUAACAGCGUAAUAAUUUUAGAUAGUUCUUAUAGAAAAAAUA
Molecule: ribosomal RNA, 317 nt
Filed under: Bothriocroton undatum (goanna tick)
Lineage: Eukaryota; Metazoa; Arthropoda; Arachnida; Ixodida; Ixodidae
Description: partial large subunit ribosomal RNA
Source: RNAcentral